GGAGGGGUACAGCUCAGUGUUAGAGCACAUGCUUAGCAUACAUGAGGUCCUGGGUUCAAUCUCCAGCACCUCCA
This is a non-coding RNA of Camelus ferus (Wild Bactrian camel), 74 nucleotides long. The record is from Rfam. Lineage: Eukaryota; Metazoa; Chordata; Mammalia; Artiodactyla; Camelidae.